AUUGAACGCUGGCGGCAGGCCUAACACAUGCAAGUCGAACGGUAACAGGAAGCAGCUUGCUGCUUUGCUGACGAGUGGCGGACGGGUGAGUAAUGUCUGGGAAACUGCCCGAUGGAGGGGGAUAACUACUGGAAACGGUGGCUAAUACCGCAUAACGUCGCAAGACCAAAGAGGGGGACCUUAGGGCCUCUUGCCAUCGGAUGUGCCCAGAUGGGAUUAGCUAGUAGGUGGGGUAACGGCUCACCUAGGCGACGAUCCCUAGCUGGUCUGAGAGGAUGACCAGCCACACUGGAACUGAGACACGGUCCAGACUCCUACGGGAGGCAGCAGUGGGGAAUAUUGCACAAUGGGCGCAAGCCUGAUGCAGCCAUGCCGCGUGUAUGAAGAAGGCCUUCGGGUUGUAAAGUACUUUCAGCGGGGAGGAAGGGAGUAAAGUUAAUACCUUUGCUCAUUGACGUUACCCGCAGAAGAAGCACCGGCUAACUCCGUG
Molecule: ribosomal RNA, 490 nt
Filed under: uncultured bacterium
Lineage: Bacteria
Description: partial 16S ribosomal RNA
Rfam family: Bacterial small subunit ribosomal RNA
Source: RNAcentral